GCCAGACUCCUACGGGAGGCAGCAGUGAGGAAUAUUGGUCAAUGGGCGCGAGCCUGAACCAGCCAAGUCGCGUGAGGGAAGAAUGUCCUAUGGAUUGUAAACCUCUUUUGUCAGGGAGCAAAGUCACCCACGUGUGGGUGUUGGAGAGUACCUGAAGAAAAAGCAUCGGCUAACUCCGUGCCAGCAGCCGCGGUAAUACGGAGGAUGCGAGCGUUAUCCGGAUUUAUUGGGUUUAAAGGGUGCGCAGGCGGAGGUGCAAGUCAGCGGUCAAAUUGCGGGGCUCAACCCCGUACUGCCGUUGAAACUGGGGAUCUAGAGUGUGCGAGAGGUAUGCGGAAUGCGUGGUGUAGCGGUGAAAUGCAUAGAUAUCACGCAGAACCCCGAUUGCGAAGGCAGCAUACCGGUGCACAACUGACGCUCAGGCACGAAAGCGUGGGUAUCGAACAGGAUUAGAUACCCUCGUA
RNAcentral lists this ribosomal RNA (464 nucleotides) under uncultured bacterium. Its description in RNAcentral is "bacterial SSU rRNA". It matches the Rfam family "Bacterial small subunit ribosomal RNA", at positions 330 to 792 of the family's 1533-position model. The record is from RNAcentral.